UAGCAAUACUUUUCAAGACCGGCGCACGGGUGAGUAACACGUAGGUAAUCUACCCUCAGGCGGGGAACAACCUCGAGAAAUCGGGGCUAAUACCGCAUAAUGCAACGAGAUCACAUGAUUUUGUUGUUAAAGAUCCGCAAGGAUCACCCGAGGAUGAACCUGCGUCCGAUUAGCUAGUUGGCGGAGUAACGGCCCACCAAGGCGACGAUCGGUAGCCGACCUGAGAGGGUGCUCGGCCACACUGGAACUGAGACACGGUCCAGACCCCUACGGGAGGCAGCAGUGAGGAAUAUUGGUCAAUGGCCGAAAGGCUGAACCAGCAACGCCGCGUGAGGGAUGAAGGUCUAAGGAUUGUAAACCUCUGUUAGGAGGGACGAACGGUCCCGUAACGAACUUACGGGAUGUGACGGUACCUCCAGAGAAAGCCCCGGCUAACUCCGUGCCAGCAGCCGCGGUAAUACGGGGGGGGCAAGCGUUGUCCGGAAUUAUUGGGUGUAAAGGGUGCGUAGGCGGAAUGGUAAGUCAGAAGUGCAAUACUCGCGCUUAACGCGGGCACUGCUUUUGAUACUGCCGUUCUUGAGUGCAGAAAAGGGAAGUAGAAUUCUCGGUGUAGCGGUGAAAUGCGUAGAUAUCGAGAAGAAUACCAGUAGCGAAGGCGGCUUCCUGGUCUGUAACUGACGCUGAGGCACGAAAGUGUGGGUAGCAAACAGGAUUAGAUACCCUGGUAGUCCACACUGUAAACGAUGGACACUAGAUGUCGGAUCGCAAGGUUCGGCGUCGGCGCUAACGCAUUAAGUGUCCCACCUGGGAAGUACGGCCGCAAGGUUGAAACUCAAAGGAAUUGACGGGGGCCCGCACAAGCGGUGGAGUAUG
This 873-nucleotide ribosomal RNA is filed under the name uncultured bacterium. RNAcentral's name for it is "bacterial SSU rRNA". It matches the Rfam family "Bacterial small subunit ribosomal RNA", at positions 77 to 941 of the family's 1533-position model. The record is from RNAcentral.